UACGGGAGGCAGCAGUGAGGAAUAUUGGUCAAUGGAGGCAACUCUGAACCAGCCAUCCCGCGUGAAGGAUUGAAGGCGCUCGACGUCGUAAACUUCUUUUAUAUAGGAAUAAACUUGGGUACGUGUACCCAACUGAAUGUACUAUAUGAAUAAGCAUCGGCUAACUCCGUGCCAGCAGCCGCGGUAAUACGGAGGAUGCAAGCGUUAUCCGGAUUUAUUGGGUUUAAAGGGUCCGCAGGCGGACCGGUCAGUCAGUGGUGAAAUCCCGUCGCUUAACGAUGGAACUGCCAUUGAUACUGCCGGUCUUGAGUCUAGUUGACGUAGGCGGAAUAUGACAUGUAGCGGUGAAAUGCAUAGAUAUGUCAUAGAACACCGAUUGCGAAGGCAGCUUACGAAACUACGACUGACGCUCAUGGACGAAAGCGUGGGUAGCGAACAGGAUUAGAUACCCUGGUAGUCCACGCCGUAAACGAUGAUCACUCGAUGUCAGCGAUAUACUGUUGGUGUCUUAGCGAAAGUUUUAAGUGAUCCACCUGGGGAGUACGUUCGCAAGAAUGAAACUCAAAUGAAUGACGG
This 576-nucleotide ribosomal RNA is filed under the name uncultured bacterium. RNAcentral describes it as "bacterial SSU rRNA". It matches the Rfam family "Bacterial small subunit ribosomal RNA", at positions 340 to 916 of the family's 1533-position model. The record is from RNAcentral.